UCGGGAAUUUUGGGCAAUGGGGGAAACCCUGACCCAGCCAUGCCGCGUGCAGGAAGAAGGCCCUAUGGGUCGUAAACUGCUUUUGAACAAGAGAAAACCCCGGUACGUGUACUGGGUUGAUAGUAUUGUUAGAAUAAGCAUCGGCUAACUUCGUGCCAGCAGCCGCGGUAAGACGAAGGAUGCAAGCGUUAUCCGGAUUCAUUGGGUUUAAAGGGUGCGUAGGCGGACUGAUAAGUCAGUGGUGAAAUCUCUCGGCUUAACCGAGAAACUGCCAUUGAUACUGUUAGUCUAGAGUACAGAUGAUGUGGGCGGAAUAUGACAUGUAGUGGUGAAAUACUUAGAUAUGUCAUAGAACACCGAUUGCGAAGGCAGCUCACAAAACUGUAACUGACGCUGAGGCACGAAAGUGCGGGGAUCAAACAGGAUUAGAUACCCCAGUAGUCCCUGAGCGGGCUGGCAAGGCGCAU
RNAcentral lists this ribosomal RNA (467 nucleotides) under uncultured bacterium. Its description in RNAcentral is "bacterial SSU rRNA". It matches the Rfam family "Bacterial small subunit ribosomal RNA", at positions 355 to 825 of the family's 1533-position model. The record is from RNAcentral.